GAUUGCACUUUAAACUGGAUCUCUUGAGGGCAGGAGAGGAAAGUGGAAUUCCUAGUGUAGCGGUGAAAUGCGUAGAUAUUAGGAGGAACACCAGUGGCGAAGGCGACUUUCUGGACUGUACCUGACGCUGAGGCGCGAAAGCGUGGGUAUGGAACAGGAUUAUAUACCCUGGUAUUCCACGCCGUAAACGAUGAAUACUAGGUGUAGGGGGUAUCGACCCCCCCUGUGCCGCAGUUAACACAAUAAGUAUUCCGCCUGGGGAGUACGGCCGCAAGGCUGAAACUCAAAGGAAUUGACGGGGACCCGCACAAGCGGUGGAGCAUGUGGUUUAAUUCGACGCAACGCGAAGAACCUUACCGGGGCUUGACAUCCCUUGACCGCCAUGGAGACAUGGUUUUCGGGCCUUCAGGCCUGACAAGGAGACACGUGGUGCAUGGUUGUCGUCUCCUCGUGUCCUGAGAUGUUGGGUUACGUCCCACUUCGAGCGCUGCGGCUAUACUCACUUGGCGGCUCGUCUAUGUGGGAACUCUGAACAAACUGCCGGUGACAAACCGGAGGAAGUGAUGGUAUGACGUCGUGUCAUCAUGCCCGUUAUGUCCUGCGCUACACACGUGCUACAUUGCCCGCCUACAGCAUGCUGCUAAGGAGCGAUACCUGAGCUAAUCUCCAAAGCCUCUCUCAGAUCUCAAUGCAUGCUGCCGCUCCC
This 706-nucleotide ribosomal RNA is filed under the name uncultured bacterium. Its description in RNAcentral is "bacterial SSU rRNA". It matches the Rfam family "Bacterial small subunit ribosomal RNA", at positions 619 to 1315 of the family's 1533-position model. The record is from RNAcentral.